Non-coding RNA from Pelodiscus sinensis (Chinese soft-shelled turtle), 930 nucleotides. The record is from RefSeq and is a predicted model, not a curated record. NCBI's taxonomy places the organism in Eukaryota, Metazoa, Chordata, Testudines, Trionychidae.
UCAGAGCCUGCCAAUAGCAUACAGGAACUUGCACAGCAGGUUUAACCUUAACAACCCUUCCUGCCUCCACGUUAGGCUUUUGUGGUGGGAACAGGCAAUGCUCCCUCUCCAGACUUUGACUUCACACUGCUGGCUGGGUUGAAACUCACUCAGGACAGCCUGACUUUGCUGAAACUCAGGCUAUUCCUUCCAAACUGCCUUCGACUUCCUACAUCCUCCCCCAUACAGUGAUGAGCAGGGCUGUUGCCUGACACAGUUUCUAAGUAGCUGGCCUUCACAGUGGAACAUGAAGCUCAGAAGGGUCAGGACCAUGAGGAGGAGAUAAGCCCAUGACAUUCCAAGGGGCUUGCACACUACAACUUUUUAUUGCAAAUUAAUUUUUUAUGCAUGCCAUUGUUGCUGUUAUUAUCCAAGAUGUGAUCUUGUGUGGUUGAUAAUACUGACUAGAUAUGAAUACUGGCACACAGCGCUCUACAUUAUCUGUCAUUUUCAUUAGAUUCAAGCUACAGCUGAGCCAAAAAGACUUAGUUCUAGCAUAUGUGCUCAAAAUGGCCAAGAUGAGAUUGUCCAAAUUCACCCUUUCAGGAUUGUAUUAGAAAACAACCAGAGCUAAAUCUAAAAAUUAGCAGAGCAAUGGAACUGCAUUUGGAAAACAACAAAUGCCACAAGCUCAAAUGAUUCCAGCUUAUCAUAGUCAUCACCUCCAAAAAGCUCCAAGGAGCCUAAGUCAGCAAUGUCAAUGUUUUUUCAACACUUUUUUUUGUACAGCCAAAAUGUGAUGAUGUCAACAGAGAAGAACAAGGACAUCACAACAAGACAAAAUUCCACUGUAUUCCAGUAGCUCACAAAAGUAAAGCAGGAUGCCUCUGAUUAUAUACAAGUACAACAGUUUUAUGGGUCAUUCUUGUUAGAUACUGAGUCAGCAGUAAU